UAGGCCGGCAACUAUAGCUCCAAUUCGACCCCUAGCCUGGGAACUUCCAUGUGCCACAGGUACAGCUCUAAAUAAUAAUAAUAAUAAUAAUAAUAAUAAUAAUAAUAGUAGCAAAUCAGAAAGGUCAAAAAGGCAAAGAUGGAGUUAUGACAUUAAUAUCAGCCCAUGAAGAUAAAAGUGUUAAACGAGACAAGGAAGUGUACUUCAAGCAAAUAUAAAGAGUAAAAAUCCACAAAUGGAUGUGACUACUUUAUGCAAUAAAUACCAAAAGGAGAAACCAAAACUGAUGCUUAGCUAGGCCACCACAGUGAGGUGGGUGCAUCCUACACGACUGUACAAGAAAAAAACUUUAUCUUAGAUAAACCACAGAAAACAAAAACAAAAACCAAAAAGAAACAAGAAUGCUUGAAUCUCCUCUAAAUAUAGACUCUUUCCUAUACAUGUUACUGACUCUAGGAGAGAGUGGUGUUAUCUCUGACAUCUGAAGAUAUGCAGCAAUUCUUUAGCUAGGAUAAUCGUAAGGGAAAAUGGCCUUUUACCACCAAUGGGACUAAUGAAUGAAUAAACUAUAAAUGUUUAAUCCUUGAAGUAUUGGCUACGUUCUUUAUGCAAGAAACCCAGUUCUCCUAAAGGCCGAUCUUCCCUGUAAACAUUGCAGAUAAAAAUACUUUUCUUAAAGCACACAUUUUCUUUGAAUUUUCCUUUACUCCAACAUCAAGUUCUAUCAAGCAUAAAAAGCAGGAAAUGUAACAGAAACGCAUUUGGACAGAAAUGGACAAAUGUGUUUAGAAAUGGACAAAAACACAGUGAUGGUAACAUUAACUCAGCUUUUUUGACCCAUGACAAAUUAGGGAGACAAAAAUAAAGAAUAUAUAGCAUUUGAAAAAAUAUGAUUAUACUCAAAAAACAGAAUAUAAUUUUAUUUCUUACUCAUCAGCUUUGUCACUGUUGAUUGGCCACAAACAAAAGAUGAAGGUAUUAGUGUCCUUAAACAAACUCUGUCACUAACUCUACAUCUUGUUUGUCUGUCUUUCUAUUGGUAAACUGAUAACAUCCAUAGCAUUUUCCUCUGUAACUAUUUUCCAAACAUUUAUUUGUUGCUCAUUACUAAUCCCUUUGUCAUGGAUUCUCUAGUCAUCCCUUAUUUUGCUUUCAAGCAUUUUCUUUUUUUAACAAAACUCUAGUGAGUUCUUGCUCUUAAAAUUCUCCAGUGUUUGGUAGUAUCUGUCUGAGGCUGUAUAAUGCUCUUGCUGAGAGUUUAAGCUCUGAAAAUCUCUUUGAAGGUCUUCCUAGGUUUGAAUUCUAAGCUUUGCCACUCCCCACGUGACCUUGAGCAAGUAACUGUGCUCACAUUUCUUAUCCUUAAAAGAGGGACAUCUCUAAGUACUGUGUAUGCCCUUUGGUGCCCCACUACACCCCUGCUCCAGAUCUACUCUGGCCCUGCCCUGCCACUUUCUGUACCCCAGGAGGCUGACCUCUUCUCUCCUCAUCAUCUGGGCUCCCUGUUUGGCUGCUUUCCAGCUGCAUGAGGCCAGUGGAAAGGGCUGGCAGGAAAUCAGAUGGUGGUGGUAGGAGUGGGAGGAGUGGGUAUUUUUUUCUUGUUUUUUCCCUCUGCACCCCUCAUGAGGACAGUCCCUGAAGGUGGCCACUCCUCCCUAGCUCCAGCUCUCCGUAGGCCCCAUUCCCCCCUUCCCAGUCCUGAGGGCAGUAAUGGUAUGCCACUGCUCUUUUCUCUGGGUCUCUCACCAGUCCUUUUCCCCUUAACCUGACUACCUUUCUAAGCAGCUCCUUUAUUCAUGUCUGUUCAUUUGAAAUAUCUGGGGUGAACCAUGUUACCCACCAUGACCCUGACUGAUACAGUUCAUAGGACCAGAGAUGGCCCUAGUGACUGAAGUCUCAGACAGAGUUGGUAAUGUAGUAAGCAAAUUCAGGAAUGACCUCCACACCUGGGAACACAGGACACAAGCAAUAAGUGACAUGCUGUUACUCUCACAGUGAUGUAAGAUGGAGAGCCAGCCAGGGCAAGGCUCUGGAAGAUCAUCAGGCUGCUGUACUCCCUGAAACUAUGACAGUGAUGAUGACACACAUUGCAGGGAAUGUUAACUGCCUCUGUCUGUGCCAAAAAGCUUGUAUAAAAACAAACAUAUUGCUUUACCUUCCAUUCAAGAUUAGAGAACCAGAAAAGUUCUACGGAGGCCUUCAGAGAAUCUCUUAUUAUCAGCUAUUGCUGCAAAGCAGACAUGAAUGAGGAUCAGACCUAAAAUUGAAUUGCUCAGUUGCAGAAUUACAACUCUAGUUAAGUACAGAACCUUUGAAGGUCUCUUGUGCUCAGGUUAGAACAUUGAUUGAGAAGGAAGGAUCUUCUGAGACUUCUGAAAAGGACAUUUGUGCAGACACAGUUUGAAUCUCCAGAUCACCCUGAGUCUCCCUUGCUACUACAAAGAGUCCCUCCUCCUUGGUCUCAGGAAACCACCCUUUUCUUUCACAGAGAUCUUUCAGUGAUACUCCCUAAGGCAGUUGUCUUUCUGGGGAAUGCCUGUUCUAGAUCCAUCCUCAAGGCCUCUGUGCUCCUAAGUGGAGUUAAAUCACAGCAUGACCCAGGAGAGAACUGUAAAUUCACUUCCAGGGUGAGAUAAUAAAUAGACCAAAGGAACUGCAAGUGCUUUUACACAUUUUUUUUAGAUGUGCUGAAACCUUGGGCAUGCAUAAGAGAAUGAAUUCUGAGGGUUUAGACCAGGGACGAGCAACUCUUGGCUUGAGGGAAAAUGGCCUACCACCUGUUUUUGUAUGGCAUGCAAACUAAGAAUGAUCCUUACAUUUCUACAUGGUUAAAGAGAGAAUGUUUUAUGUCACAUAAAAAUUGUGUGAAAUUCAAAUUUCAGUGUCCAUAAAUAAAGCUUUAUUAGAACAUAGCACUGCCUUUUGGUUAUGGGUGCUUUUGUGCUGCAAGGUAGGUAGUCAUAACAGGCUGGUUCUCAUAGCUGUAGCUGUUUACUCUCUGUCCCUUUACAGAAAAGCUUGCUGAUCUCUGCUCCACAACAUGGACGUGAUGGUUGGAAGUGCCACCAUUGAAUUGGGAUCCUAGUUUUAAUGGCGGUAAUGAGAUCUGGGUUAGGCAGAGGCCAAGUGGUGGUGCUUAGGAUCAGAGCGACAAAGUGGGCACAAUUUCUAUAACAGAUGGGAUCAAGGUAGGCAACUGAUUUGAUGCACUAGAGUCUGUGGUGGGAGUCAGUUGAUCAUGGCGCAAGAGAAAUGAAACAGAUGUAUAGUCUACUAAGAUAUGGAUUGAACUGUUUAGUCUUGUGGACAGAAACGUGUUUAGAUUCUCCAUGGUGAGCAUUUACAGGCGAUCACCCUCUCUACACGUGAGCCAGCUCAAAAGUAGAGGGAUGGCUGAAAGGACUCUGGGUUUCAGUGGAGGGAGGAACAUGGCCACAAAUGCACACUGUAAGAUCGUUCUCCGAGCAUUUUCCACAGGCCAUUUAUAGGGUGACAGUGCAUUGGGAAAAGGGAAUUUUCCAGACCUCUCCUAUGUUAUAAAAUACUAGCCCUGGGUUGAGGCUGAUCAUUAAGUACCCAAUAUGCCAUUGUGACAUUCCAGUCAGUGCAGGGGCUUAUGGAGGGUAGAUAGAUGGAGUCUCUUUUUUUAAACAAGUUACUGUUUUGAAAAAAUUUCAAACAUAUUCAGAAAUACAGAGAAUAGUGAUAUGAGCCCCACAUACUCAUCCUCCAGUUUUGACACAUAUAGGUGUUUUGCCUGUGUUAUUUUGUCUUACUGCAUUGAUGCUUUCCCCUCACCUCUGGGAGAUUUCAUAAAGAUCCCAGGCAUCACAUCAUCCUGACUACAUAGCUCCAAUAGAUAAGGACUUUUUAAUGUAACUGUUAUAUCUUCAUUAUAUCUAGAAAAUUAACAACAAUUAUUUAAAAUUAUCUACUACAUAGUCCAUGUUUGAAUUUUCCCAUUUGUAUUAAGAAAGCUAUCCUAUAGGGUGAUUUGGUUGAAUUAGUACCUAAAUAAAUUCCCUACUUGUACUUAGUUGUUGUAUGUGAAGGCUCUUUUGUCUUUAAUCGUUCCUUCUCCCUACUUUUCAGAACAUUUGUUAAAUAAACUGGGUCAUUAGUUUUAUACAAUUAUCCUUAUUUCAAAUUUGGCUGAUUGCAUUCUUUUCAUCCUGUUAACUUAGUUUCCCUCCCCGUUUCAACUACCCUCACCAGGCCAGAAUAAUAUAUCAGGAGCAGUGCCAUAUUGCUGGUGGUAAAUGUGGAUACUGGGGUCACAUUUCUGUUUACUUGUGUGAUUGGUCCAAAAGCUAGAUGGAUCUUGAAGAAUGGCAAUGGGUUAUCAUAAACUUGAAUAAGGAUAUAUCAUUGUGCUGCUAUUCAGAUAUGGAGAAAAUCAGCACAGUUCCUGCCCCUAGUUUGCAGCUAUAGACCUACUGACUUUCUAUAUCCAAUAGUAAAUCAGAAGCAUUUUUUUUUAAUUUUUACGGCAGGGCCCGGAGUAUAAUUUUAAUGUACUAUGUUAACUCGCUUGCUUUCUGCUGUAAGGUACGAGGGCACCUUGGUCAUCUCCAUGUCCCACAGAACAUUGCACUGAUCCCUUACAUUGAUGAUAUUUUGAUUAUCAGAUCCAGUGACCAAAAAACAGCAAAUUAUGUACACAUGCAGUAAGAUAUUUGUGUGUCUAUGGGUAGGAGAUAAACCCCAGGAAAAUUCAAGGUUCUGCAUGUUGGUGAAUUGCUAAAAUUCUAAUGGUCUGAAGUCCAUCUGGAUAGUCCUUCUAAAGUGAAAGACAAGUUACUAUACCUUGCACUUUACAUCACAGAUAAUUUUUGGUGGGACUCUGGGUUUUAGAGGCAGUGUUACCAUCUUGCUGUAUGUUACUCUGAUGAGUGCACUGACUUGCUCAUAAGACUGCUAGUUUGAGUAGAGACCUACGGAGAGCACCACAGAAAGUUCAAGCUGUGGUGGACGCUGCAUAUCCUUUGGACGUAAUGAUUCUUUGUGUGUAUAUGGCCUUCAGGAAGCCUCAACAGGAAUAUCACUGUGGACAGGCUCUCACAUCCUAGAUUUUAGAGUAAAGUUAUGACCUUUUAUGCUGCUGAAAUUCCGGGAGAAGCAGUUGCUGUUUUAAUAUGGGAUUCUAAAAGAGUUGGAAUAGCUGACCAUGAUAUACCAAGGGACAAUAAGACCUGAGAAACUGCUCAUGAUCUGGGUGUUUUUGACCUAUCAUAGCCUAAAUUCCAUGGCAGCAAUCCAUUUUACUUAAAAAUAGAUCUGGGUUUGAGCAGUUUUGGGGGGCACAAGUAAAUCUGAUAAAAAGGUGGCUCAGACUCACAUGUUACCAUUAUUUUCUCUUUCACUUCCUUUCCUUCAGCUCAUACCCAUGGCCUCAUGGGUCAGGGCCUAUGACCACUUAACAGAAGAGGAAAAUUGAACAUCCGCUUUACAUAUGGGUGUGCAUAAUAUAUAGGCACCAGCUGGUAGAGGAGGCCUAACAUACUUUUACAGACCUUCUUAAACUUGUCUAUGUUCAGAAGUGGAAGGGGAGGUUCCAAAGGGACAGAACUUUCAGCAGUGCAUAUGGUGGUUGCUCUCCUUAGAAAGAAAGGUGGCCUGAAGCAUGGAUCUGCAUUGAGUCACAGGCUUGCUAACAGGGUAGAUGACUGAUCAAGAUCUUAGAAAGGAAGAGUGGUGACAAGAAGGUCUGAGGAAGAAGAAUUCACCCAUUCAGUACAGACUCUUAGUCAUGAGGUGGCAAGAUGGCCUGUACUACAGAUGCCAGCCUCUUUGACCAGCCACGAUGAUUCUUGCUCAAAAGACUUCUUGACAAAAUAGGCGUGGCAUCAAGAAUGGAAGUUACACAUAGACUGAAAAGCAGACUCUCCCUUACCAAGUCUAAUCUGACUAUUGCUCUUGCUGAGUGUCCAACUUAUGUAUAGCCCAGACCAAUACUUUGUCCCCAGUAUGGCUCCAUCCUUCAGGGGGAACCAGCCAGCCACUCUCUGGGAAGUUAAAUGUAUUGGUUUCUUACCAUUAUGGUGGGGGAAACUGUCCUUACAGGAUUCAUAUUCUGGUUACAGAUUUUCCUUCCUUCCUUUUGUCAGCACCACUGUCUACCAUUGAGAGACCCACAAAAUGCCAUAGUGUUCUUUAAGGAAAUCAUCUUCAACCAAGAAGCUCAUUUCAUAGUGAAAGAAGUCUGGCAGUGAGCUUGGGCCCAUGGAAUUCAAUCAUGAGGUCUUCCUGCUUCUUCCUGAUUGAAAAACAGCUGGACUGAAGAGUAGACAGGCCUACUGAAUGCUGAGAUGCUACUGUUGCUGGGGAAAUGUCACUGUUAGAGAAUAGAAAACCAUUAUUCCGAAGAGUAUGGAAGACUGACUGAAUCAGGUCUGGAACAUUAUUGAAAUGAGAUUAUCACAGAAUACUGGGUAGAGUUCUCCGUGCUAUACAGCAGGUCCCUGUUGCCCAAUCAUUCCAUAUACCUCAGUCUGCAUGUGGCAACACCAACAGCCCAUCCCUCCCAUCACUGAGCCUGUCCCCUUUGCUGUUUUGCAGGCGCUGAAGCUCUCACCAGAUGGAAAAAGUCAACUGGAUGCUGCCUGCAAACACCCAGACCCCAGAAGGUUGGUGAUGCUGACUCCCAAUUACGUCACCACCAGCCAAUCAGGAAAAUGUCUGUGAGUUGAUCAUGCCCUGCUCCUUGAACACUGUAAGACUCCUCACUGUCCCCUCCAAGAGGGGCACAGUCCUGGAUGCAUGAGCUCGCUGUGAUCCCUGCUGUGUUCCUGCUUUGCCUGGCAAUUAAAGCUACUUUUUCUGUUUCCUCCAACUCUGUCUCCGAGUUUCUAUUUGGCAUCGGUGUACAGAGGCAGCUGAGAUUUCAGCAACACCUUUAGAAGUCAAGGCACAGUUAUAAAACUUUUUUGCACCAGAGGGCUGUACAUUGAAUGACAUUUAUCGACAGCUUACACAAUCCGGAUCUAAGUCUCUUCAUGGACUAUAUUGUAUAGUUUUAUUUUUAGAAUAAUGUACACAUGUUAUUUUUUAUGAUUAUCACAUUUACUUGUUUCAGUCUUCCUUUUAUUUUUAUAAUAUCCUCCAUUAUUAUCUAUGUAUUGGAAUGUUAAAAUAUCAUCCCAUCUC
Sus scrofa (pig) is the source of this 7146-nucleotide long non-coding RNA. RefSeq lists it as uncharacterized. The record is from RefSeq and is a predicted model, not a curated record. Lineage: Eukaryota; Metazoa; Chordata; Mammalia; Artiodactyla; Suidae.